UACAGAGGGUGCGAGCGUUAAUCGGAAUUACUGGGCGUAAAGCGUGCGCAGGCGGUUCGCCAAGUCAGGUGUGAAAUCCCCGGGCUUAACCUGGGAACUGCGCUUGUAACUAGCGGGCUAGAGUGCGGCAGAGGGGGGUGGAAUUCCACGUGUAGCAGUGAAAUGCGUAGAGAUGUGGAGGAACACCGAUGGCGAAGGCAGCCCCCUGGGUUAGCACUGACGCUCAGGCGCAAAAGCGUGGGGAGCAAACAGG
Molecule: ribosomal RNA, 253 nt
Filed under: uncultured bacterium
Lineage: Bacteria
Description: partial 16S ribosomal RNA
Rfam family: Bacterial small subunit ribosomal RNA
Source: RNAcentral